This 287-nucleotide ribosomal RNA is filed under the name uncultured bacterium. RNAcentral's name for it is "partial 16S ribosomal RNA". It matches the Rfam family "Bacterial small subunit ribosomal RNA", at positions 332 to 617 of the family's 1533-position model. The record is from RNAcentral.
UUGACCCUACGGGAGGCAGCAGUGAGGAAUAUUGGUCAAUGGGCGGGAGCCUGAACCAGCCAAGCCGCGUGAGGGAAGAAGGCACAGCGUAUCGUAAACCUCUUUUGUCAGGGAACAAAGGCGGGGACUAGUCCCCGGAUGAGGGUACCUGAAGAAAAAGCAUCGGCUAACUCCGUGCCAGCAGCCGCGGUAAUACGGAGGAUGCGAGCGUUAUCCGGAUUUAUUGGGUUUAAAGGGUGCGCAGGCGGCCUGUUACGUCAGCGGUAAACGCCCGGGGCACAACCCCG